RNAcentral lists this ribosomal RNA (253 nucleotides) under uncultured bacterium. RNAcentral's name for it is "partial 16S ribosomal RNA". It matches the Rfam family "Bacterial small subunit ribosomal RNA", at positions 524 to 776 of the family's 1533-position model. The record is from RNAcentral.
UACGGAGGGUGCAAGCGUUAUCCGGAUUCACUGGGUUUAAAGGGUGCGUAGGCGGCCUAUUAAGUCAGGGGUGAAAGACGGUAGCUUAACUAUCGCAGUGCCUUUGAUACUGAUGGGCUUGAAUGUACUUGAGGUAGGCGGAAUGUGACAAGUAGCGGUGAAAUGCAUAGAUAUGUCACAGAACACCAAUUGCGAAGGCAGCUUACUAAAGUAUGAUUGACGCUGAGGCACGAAAGCGUGGGGAUCAAACAGG